This 426-nucleotide ribosomal RNA is filed under the name uncultured bacterium. Its description in RNAcentral is "partial 16S ribosomal RNA". It matches the Rfam family "Bacterial small subunit ribosomal RNA", at positions 354 to 797 of the family's 1533-position model. The record is from RNAcentral.
GUGGGGAAUAUUGGGCAAUGGGCGAAAGCCUGACCCAGCAACGCCGCGUGAAGGAAGAAGGUCUUCGGAUCGUAAACUUCUAUCCUUGGUGAAGAUAAUGACGGUAGCCGAGAAGGAAGCCCCGGCUAACUACGUGCCAGCAGCCGCGGUAAUACGUAGGGGGCAAGCGUUGUCCGGAAUGAUUGGGCGUAAAGGGCGCGUAGGCGGCCUGGUAAGUCUGGAGUGAAAGUCCUGCUUUUAAGGUGGGAAUUGCUUUGGAUACUGUCGGGCUUGGGUGCAGGGGAGGUAAGUGGAAUUCCCGGUGUAGCGGUGAAAUGCGUAGAGAUCGGGAGGAACACCAGUGGCGAAGGCGACUUACUGGACUGUAACUGACGCUGAGGCGCGAAAGUGUGGGGAGCAAACAGGAUUAGAAACCCGUGUAGUCCC